GACGAACGCUGGCGGCGUGCUUAACACAUGCAAGUCGAACGGAAAGGCCCUGCUUUUGUGGGGUGCUCGAGUGGCGAACGGGUGAGUAACACGUGAGUAACCUGCCCUUGACUUUGGGAUAACUUCAGGAAACUGGGGCUAAUACCGGAUAGGAGCUCCUGCUGCAUGGUGGGGGUUGGAAAGUUUCGGCGGUUGGGGAUGGACUCGCGGCUUAUCAGCUUGUUGGUGGGGUAGUGGCUUACCAAGGCUUUGACGGGGAGCCGGCCUGAGAGGGUGACCGGCAACAUUGGGACUGAGAUACGGCCCAGACUCCUACGGGAGGCAGCAGGGGGGAAUAUUGCACAAUGGGCGGAAGCCUGAUGCAGCAACGCCGCGUGCGGGAUGACGGCCUUCGGGUUGUAAACCGCUUUCGCCUGUGACGAAGCGUGAGUGACGGUAAUGGGUAAAGAAGCACCGGCUAACUACGUG
This 468-nucleotide ribosomal RNA is filed under the name uncultured bacterium. Its description in RNAcentral is "partial 16S ribosomal RNA". It matches the Rfam family "Bacterial small subunit ribosomal RNA", at positions 28 to 507 of the family's 1533-position model. The record is from RNAcentral.